GGUGACUGCGUACCUUUUGUAUAAUGGGUCAGCGACUUAUAUUCUGUAGCAAGGUUAACCGAAUAGGGGAGCCGAAGGGAAACCGAGUCUUAACUGGGCGUUAAGUUGCAGGGUAUAGACCCGAAACCCGGUGAUCUAGCCAUGGGCAGGUUGAAGGUUGGGUAACACUAACUGGAGGACCGAACCGACUAAUGUUGAAAAAUUAGCGGAUGACUUGUGGCUGGGGGUGAAAGGCCAAUCAAACCGGGAGAUAGCUGGUUCUCCCCGAAAGCUAUUUAGGUAGCGCCUCGUGAACUCAUCUUCGGGGGUAGAGCACUGUUUCGGCUAGGGGGUCAUCCCGACUUACCAACCCGAUGCAAACUGCGAAUACCGAAGAAUGUUAUCACGGGAGACACACGGCGGGUGCUAACGUCCGUCGUGAAGAGGGAAACAACCCAGACCGCCAGCUAAGGUCCCAAAGUCAUGGUUAAGUGGGAAACGAUGUGGGAAGGCACAGACAGCCAGGAUGUUGGCUUAGAAGCAGCCAUCAUUUAAAGAAAGCGUAAUAGCUCACUGGUCGAGUCGGCCUGCGCGGAAGAUGUAACGGGGCUAAACCAUGCACCGAAGCUGCGGCAGCGACACUAUGUGUUGUUGGGUAGGGGAGCGUUCUGUAAGCCGUUGAAGGUGGCCUGUGAGGGUUGCUGGAGGUAUCAGAAGUGCGAAUGCUGACAUAAGUAACGAUAAUGCGGGUGAAAAACCCGCACGCCGGAAGACCAAGGGUUCCUGUCCAACGUUAAUCGGGGCAGGGUGAGUCGGCCCCUAAGGCGAGGCCGAAAGGCGUAGUCGAUGGGAAACAGGUUAAUAUUCCUGUACUUGGUGUUACUGCGAAGGGGGGACGGAGAAGGCUAUGUUAGCCGGGCGACGGUUGUCCCGGUUUAAGCAUGUAGGCGGAGAUUCCAGGUAAAUCCGGAGUCUUGUUAACGCUGAGGUGUGAUGACGAGGCACUACGGUGCUGAAGUAACAAAUGCCCUGCUUCCAGGAAAAGCCUCUAAGCAUCAGGUAACACAAAAUCGUACCCCAAACCGACACAGGUGGUCAGGUAGAGAAUACCAAGGCGCUUGAGAGAACUCGGGUGAAGGAACUAGGCAAAAUGGUGCCGUAACUUCGGGAGAAGGCACGCUGAUAUGUAGGUGAAGUGAUUUACUCAUGGAGCUGAAAUCAGUCGAAGAUACCAGCUGGCUGCAACUGUUUAUUAAAAACACAGCACUGUGCAAACACGAAAGUGGACGUAUACGGUGUGACGCCUGCCCGGUGCCGGAAGGUUAAUUGAUGGGGUUAUCCGUAAGGAGAAGCUCUUGAUCGAAGCCCCGGUAAACGGCGGCCGUAACUAUAACGGUCCUAAGGUAGCGAAAUUCCUUGUCGGGUAAGUUCCGACCUGCACGAAUGGCGUAAUGAUGGCCAGGCUGUCUCCACCCGAGACUCAGUGAAAUUGAACUCGCUGUGAAGAUGCAGUGUACCCGCGGCAAGACGGAAAGACCCCGUGAACCUUUACUAUAGCUUGACACUGAACACUGGUCCUUGAUGUGUAGGAUAGGUGGGAGGCUUUGAAGUGUGGACGCCAGUCUGCAUGGAGCCAACCUUGAAAUACCACCCUUUAAUGGCUGGUGUUCUAACGUAGACCCGUGAUCCGGGUUGCGGACAGUGUCUGGUGGGUAGUUUGACUGGGGCGGUCUCCUCCUAAAGAGUAACGGAGGAGCACGAAGGUUAGCUAAUCCUGGUCGGACAUCAGGAGGUUAGUGCAAUGGCAUAAGCUAGCUUGACUGCGAGCGUGACGGCGCGAGCAGGUGCGAAAGCAGGUCAUAGUGAUCCGGUGGUUCUGAAUGGAAGGGCCAUCGCUCAACGGAUAAAAGGUACUCCGGGGAUAACAGGCUGAUACCGCCCAAGAGUUCAUAUCGACGGCGGUGUUUGGCACCUCGAUGUCGGCUCAUCACAUCCUGGGGCUGAAGUAGGUCCCAAGGGUAUGGCUGUUCGCCAUUUAAAGUGGUACGCGAGCUGGGUUUAGAACGUCGUGAGACAGUUCGGUCCCUAUCUGCCGUGGGCGCUGGAGAAUUGAGGGGGGCUGCUCCUAGUACGAGAGGACCGGAGUGGACGCAUCACUGGUGUUCGGGUUGUCAUGCCAAUGGCAUUGCCCGGUAGCUAAAUGCGGAAGAGAUAAGUGCUGAAAGCAUCUAAGCACGAAACUUGCCCCGAGAUGAGUUCU
Molecule: ribosomal RNA, 2239 nt
Filed under: human gut metagenome
Description: bacterial LSU rRNA
Rfam family: Bacterial large subunit ribosomal RNA
Source: RNAcentral